AUGUCUGUAGAGAAAAUUACAGCAACUUCACCCACAGCUACCAUGACUCUGAUCCCCGUCUUCAUCUGGACACUGAUCCUCUGGACUCAAGAAUGCAGAGGUCAAGUCACAGUAACUCAGACUCCUGCAGUGAAAUCUGCUCUUCCAGGAGAAACAGUCACCAUCAACUGUAGAACCAGUCAGGCCGUGUACAAGGGCUCAUAUGGCCACUACUUACACUGGUAUCAGCAGAAACCUGGAGAAGCUCCUAAACUCCUGAUUAAACUUGCAAAUCAGCGAGAGUCAGGUUUUCCAGCUCGUUUCAGUGGCAGUGGAUCUGGAUCUGAUUUCACUCUGACCAUCAGUGGAGUCCAGACUGAAGAUGCAGGAGAUUAUUACUGUCAGAGUUACCAUUACAUCAGUAGCAAAGACCUGUUCACACAGUGUUAUAGAGUCGUACAAAAACCUCCCUCAGUCAGAUUGUAGAGAGACUGCACUGCUGCAGCUGGGAGAGACUGCAGGUGCUGAGUUGGAGGAUGUGAUACGACACAAUGACCCGCUGUGGAGGAGAGGAACCACACCACACUAACUCACAACUCACAUUAGAAAUCUCUCAAUCAUCAUCACACCACACUGCACACAGUCCAUCACAUCCACUACUGUAAGAUCAAUACUCUGCACUGAUGGCUGGUUGUGAUAUUGAAUAAGGGCUAAAUCUAAUUUUACUCCUCAUCACUAUCUUGCUGUUACUAUUAUGAAGCCAUUAGCGAUGAGCCUUAUUACACUCACUGUGACCAGUGAGCCUCAUUAUAUAAGCAUAAAUAAUAGGCAUAUACUCUCAUUAAAAGACACAGAUACGUCAAGGUUAAA
Non-coding RNA from Neoarius graeffei (lesser salmon catfish), 849 nucleotides. The record is from the annotation of a RefSeq genome assembly. NCBI's taxonomy places the organism in Eukaryota, Metazoa, Chordata, Actinopteri, Siluriformes, Ariidae.